CCACGGCUAAUUCCGUGCCAGCAGCCGCGGUAAUACGGGAGUGGCAAGCGUUAUCCGGAAUUAUUGGGCGUAAAGCGUCCGCAGGCGCCCUCAAGUCUGCUGUUAAAAAGUGGAGCUUAACUCCAUCAUGGCAGUGGAAACUGUUGGGCUUGAGUGUGGUAGGGGCAGAGGGAAUUCCCGGUGUAGCGGUGAAAUGCGUAGAUAUCGGGAAGAACACCAGUGGCGAAGGCGCUCUGCUGGGCCAUCACUGACGCUCAUGGACGAAAGCCAGGGGAGCGAAAGGGAUUAGAUACCCCUGUAGUCCUGGCCGUAAACGAUGAACACUAGGUGUCGGGGGAAUCGACCCCCUCGGUGUCGUAGCCAACGCGUUAAGUGUUCCGCCUGGGGAGUACGCACGCAAGUGUGAAACUCAAAGGAAUUGACGGGGGCCCGCACAAGCGGUGGAGUAUGUGGUUUAAUUCGAUGCAACGCGAAGAACCUUACCAGGGUUUGACACCCUGCGAAUCUCUUGGAAACAGGAGAGUGCCUUCGGGAACGCAGUGACAGGUGGUGCAUGGCUGUCGUCAGCUCGUGUCGUGAGAUGUUGGGUUAAGUCCCGCAACGAGCGCAACCCACGUCUUUAGUUGCCAGCAUUUAGUUGGGCACUCUAGAGAGACUGCCGGUGAUAAACCGGAGGAAGGUGUGGAUGACGUCAAGUCAUCAUGCCCCUUACAUCCUGGGCUACACACGUACUACAAUGCUACGGACAAAGGGCAGCAAGUUCGCGAGGACAAGCAAAUCCCAUAAACCGUGGCUCAGUUCAGAUCGUAGGCUGCAACUCGCCUACGUGAAGGCGGAAUCGCUAGUAAUCGCAGGUCAGCAUACUGCGGUGAAUACGUUCCCGGGCCUUGUACACACCGCCCGUCACACCAUGGAAGUUGGCCACGCCCGAAGCCGUUACUCCAACCCUUGUGGAGGAG
Molecule: ribosomal RNA, 959 nt
Filed under: uncultured bacterium
Lineage: Bacteria
Description: bacterial SSU rRNA
Rfam family: Bacterial small subunit ribosomal RNA
Source: RNAcentral